RNAcentral lists this ribosomal RNA (380 nucleotides) under uncultured eukaryote. RNAcentral's name for it is "partial 18S ribosomal RNA". It matches the Rfam family "Eukaryotic small subunit ribosomal RNA", at positions 592 to 976 of the family's 1831-position model. The record is from RNAcentral.
CAAUAGCGUAUAUUAAAGUUGUUGCAGUUAAAAAGCUCGUAGUUGGAUUUGUGGCGUACGGUGUGUUCCGGGCACUUGUUGUCUGAGUAACCUGCUGUUGCCAUCCUUGGGUGGAACCUGUGUGGCAUUAGGUUGUCGUGCAGGGGAUGCCCAUCAUUUACUGUGUAAAAAUUAGAGUGUUCAAAGCAGGCUUAUGCCGUUGAAUAUAUUAGCAUGGAAUAAUGAGAUAGGACUUUUUUGCUAUUUUGUUGGUUUGCGCAAAGAGGUAAUGAUUAAUAGGGACAGUUGGGGGUAUUCGUAUUCCAUUGUCAGAGGUGAAAUUCUUGGAUUUUUGGAAGACGAACUACUGCGAAAGCAUUUACCAAGGAUGUUUUCAUUAA